RNAcentral lists this ribosomal RNA (972 nucleotides) under Shigella sonnei. Its description in RNAcentral is "partial 23S ribosomal RNA". It matches the Rfam family "Bacterial large subunit ribosomal RNA", at positions 1 to 1013 of the family's 2925-position model. Lineage: Bacteria; Pseudomonadati; Pseudomonadota; Gammaproteobacteria; Enterobacterales; Enterobacteriaceae. The record is from RNAcentral.
GGUUAAGCGACUAAGCGUACACGGUGGAUGCCCUGGCAGUCAGAGGCGAUGAAGGACGUGCUAAUCUGCGAUAAGCGUCGGUAAGGUGAUAUGAACCGUUAUAACCGGCGAUUUCCGAAUGGGGAAACCCAGUGUGAUUCGUCACACUAUCAUUAACUGAAUCCAUAGGUUAAUGAGGCGAACCGGGGGAACUGAAACAUCUAAGUACCCCGAGGAAAAGAAAUCAACCGAGAUUCCCCCAGUAGCGGCGAGCGGACGGGGAGCAGCCCAGAGCCUGAAUCAGUGUGUGUGUUAGUGGAAGCGUCUGGAAAGGCGUGCGAUACAGGGUGACAGCCCCGUACACAAAAAUGCACAUAUUGUGAGCUUGAUGAGUAGGGCGGGACACGUGGUAUCCUGUCUGAAUAUGGGGGGACCAUCCUCCAAGGCUAAAUACUCCUGACUGACCGAUAGUGAACCAGUACCGUGAGGGAAAGGCGAAAAGAACCCCGGCGAGGGGAGUGAAAAAGAACCUGAAACCGUGUACGUACAAGCAGUGGGAGCACGCUUAGGCGUGUGACUGCGUACCUUUUGUAUAAUGGGUCAGCGACUUAUAUUCUGUAGCAAGGUUAACCGAAUAGGGGAGCCGAAGGGAAACCGAGUCUUAACUGGGCGUUAAGUUGCAGGGUAUAGACCCGAAACCCGGUGAUCUAGCCAUGGGCAGGUUGAAGGUUGGGUAACACUAACUGGAGGACCGAACCGACUAAUGUUGAAAAAUUAGCGGAUGACUUGUGGCUGGGGGUGAAAGGCCAAUCAAACCGGGAGAUAGCUGGUUCUCCCCGAAAGCUAUUUAGGUAGCGCCUCGUGAAUUCAUCUCCGGGGGUAGAGCACUGUUUCGGCAAGGGGGUCAUCCCGACUUACCAACCCGAUGCAAACUGCGAAUACCGGAGAAUGUUAUCACGGGAGACACACGGCGGGUGCUAACGUCCGUCGUGA